GCCGGUAUAGUUUAGUGGUAAAACAGAUCCUUGGUAAGGAUCAGCGGUAAGUUCAAUUCUUACUUCCGGCACCA
This 74-nucleotide transfer RNA is filed under the name Mollicutes bacterium. RNAcentral's name for it is "tRNA-Thr". It matches the Rfam family "tRNA". From Rfam's summary of the family: Transfer RNA (tRNA) molecules are approximately 80 nucleotides in length. Their secondary structure includes four short double-helical elements and three loops (D, anti-codon, and T loops). The record is from RNAcentral. RNAcentral also lists the same sequence under 2 other names. Lineage: Bacteria; Bacillati; Mycoplasmatota; Mollicutes.